This 336-nucleotide unclassified non-coding RNA is filed under the name soil metagenome. RNAcentral's name for it is "partial contains 5.8S ribosomal RNA, internal transcribed spacer 2, and large subunit ribosomal RNA". The stretch from base 1 to 120 matches the Rfam family "5.8S ribosomal RNA", at positions 35 to 154 of the family's 154-position model. The record is from RNAcentral.
GAUGAAGAACGUAGCGAAAUGCGAUAAGUAGUGUGAAUUGCAGAAUUCAGUGAAUCAUCGAAUCUUUGAACGCACAUUGCGCCCCUUGGUAUUCCAUGGGGCAUGCCUGUUCGAGCGUCAUUUGUACCUUCAAGCUUUGCUUGGUGUUGGGUGUUUGUCUCGCCUUUGCGUGUAGACUCGCCUUAAAAUAAUUGGCAGCCGGCGUAUUGAUUUCGGAGCGCAGUACAUCUCGCGCUUUGCACUCAUAACGACAGCGUCCAAAAGUACAUUUUAUACUCUUGACCUCGGAUCAGGUAGGGAUACCCGCUGAACUUAAGCAUAUCAAUAAGCGGAGGA